Molecule: ribosomal RNA, 190 nt
Filed under: uncultured Chlamydiales bacterium
Lineage: Bacteria; Pseudomonadati; Chlamydiota; Chlamydiia; Chlamydiales
Description: partial 16S ribosomal RNA
Rfam family: Bacterial small subunit ribosomal RNA
Source: RNAcentral
CGCCAACACUGGGACUGAGACACUGCCCAGACACCUACGGGUGGCUGCAGUCGAGGAUCUUUCGCAAUGGGCGCAAGCCUGACGAAGCGACGCCGUGUGAGCGAAGAAGGCCUUCGGGUUGUAAAGCUCUUUCGCCUGGGAACAAGAGACUCUAGCGAAUAACUAGGGGAUUUGAGGGUACUAGGUAAAG